Molecule: transfer RNA, 50 nt
Filed under: Planorbarius corneus
Lineage: Eukaryota; Metazoa; Mollusca; Gastropoda; Planorbidae
Description: tRNA-Gly
Source: RNAcentral
GUAGUAUAAAUAUUACAAUUACCUUCCAAGUAAAAAAUCUCUUUAAGAGC